UACGUAGGGUGCGAGCGUUGUUCGGAAUUACUGGGCGUAAAGGGCUCGUAGGUGGCCAAUUAAGUCAGGCGUGAAAUCCCCAGGCUCAACUUGGGAACUGCGUCUGAUACUGGUUGGCUUGAAUUCGGGAGAGGGAUGCAGAAUUCCAGGUGUAGCGGUGAAAUGCGUAGAUAUCUGGAGGAAUACCGGUGGCGAAGGCGGCAUCCUGGACCGAGAUUGACACUGAUGAGCGAAAGCCAGGGGAGCAAACGGG
RNAcentral lists this ribosomal RNA (253 nucleotides) under uncultured bacterium. Its description in RNAcentral is "partial 16S ribosomal RNA". It matches the Rfam family "Bacterial small subunit ribosomal RNA", at positions 524 to 776 of the family's 1533-position model. The record is from RNAcentral.